UUUCAAUUUAAUAUUAAUAUAAUUAUUAUUCUAACAUGGCACUGGUCUUGAAAGGCUUGGGUUAUUGAUGAAAGGUUAAGUACGCACGGGAUCAAUUCGACAAGUCAUCCCAGCAAGUAUACACUUUUUAACAAAAAAGGAAAAAAGAUAGAUACACUUUUUAUAAUAAAUUAAUUAAACUUUGAACCUGUGCAGUCAGAUUUGCAAAAGGGAAAAAUGUAAUUGUCGAAAAACAUAUUUGAAGUUGAUAUUGGUUUCAUUGGUAGAAGGAAAAAUUAGGAGGUGGGAGUCAAAUUGACCCUUGAUAGACAUUAAGGGUUAACAGUAACAUAUACGUUUGAUAACACGGAACUAUUCCUUAACGAUGUAUACGAUCAAAGUCGAGAUAAAUGGAUCGAGAAAUGUAAAGAAAUAAAUAUAGUUUCAGUUAAAAAGAAAGAAAGAAAGAAAGAAGGAAAAACGAAUGUGAGUAAAAGAAAUAACGAUGGUAGACAUUUAUCCUUGUCGGCCUAGACGACUUUAUCUGCAUGCCUGCACGAUCUCGUCGAACUCAAGAGGAAACUAAAAAGAAAUAAAGAAAGAGAUAGAAAAAGAG
Molecule: long non-coding RNA, 595 nt
Filed under: Polistes fuscatus (common paper wasp)
Lineage: Eukaryota; Metazoa; Arthropoda; Insecta; Hymenoptera; Vespidae
Description: uncharacterized LOC122514434
Source: RNAcentral